UACGUAGGGGGCAAGCGUUGUCCGGAUUUAUUGGGCGUAAAGAGCGUGUAGGCGGCCAGACAGGUCAGCUGUGAAAACUCGAGGCUCAACCUCGAGACGUCGGUUGAAACCGUCUGGCUAGAGUCCGGAAGAGGAGAGUGGAAUUCCCGGUGUAGCGGUGAAAUGCGCAGAUAUCGGGAAGAACACCCGUGGCGAAGGCGGAUCUCUGGGCCAUUACUGACGCUGAGGAGCGAAAGCGUGGGGAGCGAACAGG
Molecule: ribosomal RNA, 253 nt
Filed under: uncultured bacterium
Lineage: Bacteria
Description: partial 16S ribosomal RNA
Rfam family: Bacterial small subunit ribosomal RNA
Source: RNAcentral